RNAcentral lists this small RNA (893 nucleotides) under Pongo abelii (Sumatran orangutan). Its description in RNAcentral is "processed transcript". The record is from RNAcentral. Lineage: Eukaryota; Metazoa; Chordata; Mammalia; Primates; Hominidae.
UCCGCAGGGAUGCUGUGAAUAAGAUUAAAUCGUUACCCAUUGCUACGAAAGAGCAGCUUGAGAAACACAAUGAUAUUUGUGCCAUCUGUUAUCAGGACAUGAAAUCUGCUGUGAUCACGCCUUGCAGUCAUUUUUUCCAUGCAGGCUGUCUUAAGAAAUGGCUGUAUGUCCAGGAGACCUGCCCUCUGUGCCACUGCCACCUGAAAAACUCCUCCCAGCUUCCAGGAUUAGGAACUGAGCCAGUUCUACAGCCUCAUGCUGGAGCUGAGCAAAACGUCAUGUUUCAGGAAGAGGUUUGUGAAGAAAAUUCAACCUCAACAACUUCAGAAACUGCCCCUGAUAUGUGUGAGAGAGAAAUAAAAUCAGAUUUUGAGUGUUGAAGGGACUGAGAAAGUGAGGAUAAAGAGCAUGAGGACAGCAUAGAAGGAAGGAGGCAGAAGUGGAACUGAACUUUCACUCUCCAUGGGACAGAUCAAUCUCAUUAUCAAGUCUGAAUAGCAACCAGCCCUCUCCUCCACCCCGUUUCUCCUCAGUUAAUUGGAACUCAGUCAGAUGAUUAUUGAGUCUUGUACAGCACUGAAAUGAAAUCAAAGAUGAAGAAGCAUUGAUUGUAUUCAAAGAUUGAAGCACGCUCAUUCUUUGUAUGUGCUUUAGGGAAGGGGUGGGUGGGCACUUGGGCCUUGCGGGUGCAUUCAUGUAAUCUGAGACUCUUGAAUUUUAUGACGGAGUCUUCAAUAUUUUGAUGUAUAUGAAACUUUUGUUAAUAUGUUGUAUACUUUGCUGGCUGUGUGAAGUAAACUAAAACUCUAAUGAACACUUUGGAGUCCGCUUUAGUGAAGGAGACCAAAGUGGGAAGGGCUUUAGGGCACUGAUAGAGGCCCUGGGUGUACUUU